RNAcentral lists this ribosomal RNA (438 nucleotides) under uncultured bacterium. RNAcentral describes it as "partial 16S ribosomal RNA". It matches the Rfam family "Bacterial small subunit ribosomal RNA", at positions 339 to 795 of the family's 1533-position model. The record is from RNAcentral.
CUACGGGCUGCACCAGUGAGGAAUAUUGCACAAUGGGGGGAACCCUGAUGCAGCAACGCCGCGUGGAGGAUGACGCAUUUCGGUGUGUAAACUCCUUUUAUAUGUCAAGAAAAUGACGGUAGCAUAUGAAUAAGCACCGGCUAACUCCGUGCCAGCAGCCGCGGUAAUAGGGAGGGUGCAAGCGUUACUCGGAAUCACUGGGCGUAAAGGACGCGUAGGCGGGUUGGAAAGUCAGGUGUGAAAUCCUACAGCUUAACUGUAGAACUGCACUUGAAACUUCUAAUCUAGAGUAUGGGAGGGGGAGAUGGAAUUAGUGGUGUAGGGGUAAAAUCCGUAGAUAUCACUAGGAAUACCUAAAGCGAAGGCGAUCUCCUGGAACAUUACUGACGCUAAGGCGUGAAAGCGUGGGGAGCAAACAGGAUUAGUACCCCCGUAGUC